AUUGAACGCUGGCGGCAUGCUUUACACAUGCAAGUCGAACGGUAACAGGCCGCAAGGUGCUGACGAGUGGCGAACGGGUGAGUAAUGCAUCGGAACGUGCCCAGUCGUGGGGGAUAACUACUCGAAAGAGUAGCUAAUACCGCAUACGAUCCAUGGAUGAAAGCGGGGGACCGUAAGGCCUCGCGCGAUUGGAGCGGCCGAUGUCAGAUUAGGUAGUUGGUGGGGUAAAGGCUCACCAAGCCAACGAUCUGUAGCUGGUCUGAGAGGACGACCAGCCACACUGGGACUGAGACACGGCCCAGACUCCUACGGGAGGCAGCAGUGGGGAAUUUUGGACAAUGGGCGCAAGCCUGAUCCAGCAAUGCCGCGUGCAGGAAGAAGGCCUUCGGGUUGUAAACUGCUUUUGUACGGAACGAAACGGCUCUGGUUAAUACCCGGGGCUAAUGACGGUACCGUAAGAAUAAGCACCGGCUAACUACGUG
RNAcentral lists this ribosomal RNA (482 nucleotides) under uncultured bacterium. RNAcentral's name for it is "partial 16S ribosomal RNA". It matches the Rfam family "Bacterial small subunit ribosomal RNA", at positions 30 to 507 of the family's 1533-position model. The record is from RNAcentral.